UGUGUAUUACAGCACACAUUAUCUUGACGUUACACGUAAAAUCCACGAACUAACUUGAUAAUUUUAUUACGGUAUUGUACGCGCCAUAUAAUUUAUUGCCACCGGUUGUUGAUGCGUUACAAAACCAGAUUACGCGCUGAUGCAACCUCCCGCUUUAAAAGGUUGUAGAAUUCUUACUAAUAUUUAAAACGCGAAAGUGAGUUUUUAUUAUAUUUUUGUUAUUCUUUCAUGUUUUUACUACACAACCGAUCAUCGUGACUUUUGCAUACAUAUCGUCAGGCGUACAGAAAAGGAUACGGGUUCCUAACACCCGUCUCCCUCACACGCAGGCGAAAACUAUAUAUGAGUAUCGAGAUGCGUAGCGGAAUCUUCAGCGGCACCGAGGUCUCGUGCUCCUCCUACACGUACUCGUGCAAGGAACGAUGCCAGCUCCAGCGCCUCGGCGACCAGCGCCCUACACACCGCGCGGUAGUGCGCCGCAGCCGUCUCCCGCGCGAUGCGACCGCUUCCACCCCCGCAAUGCCAAACACAUCGCUGCGGAAAUAAACAUUUCAAUUGUUUAAUAAAACAUAUUUGCGUAUUUAUAACAAAUAUAUUUGCGUGCCUAUCGUGGACGAAAUGUAUUAGACACUGUAGAAUCUGUAAAACUAUGUUUCAUGCAAAUAAAUGAUUAUUAUUAUUA
Long non-coding RNA from Nymphalis io (European peacock), 682 nucleotides. RefSeq lists it as uncharacterized. The record is from RefSeq and is a predicted model, not a curated record. The transcript has 2 exons. Lineage: Eukaryota; Metazoa; Arthropoda; Insecta; Lepidoptera; Nymphalidae.